GGCGACGAUCUGUAGCGGGUCUGAGAGGAUGAUACGCCACACUGGAACUGAGACACGGUCCAGACUCCUACGGGAGGCAGCAGUGGGGAAUUUUGGACAAUGGGGGCAACCCUGAUCCAGCCAUGCCGCGUGAGUGAAGAAGGCCUUCGGGUUGUAAAGCUCUUUCGGCGGGGAAGAAAUCGCAUGGGCCAAUACCCUGUGUGGAUGACGGUACCGGAAUAAGAAGCACCGGCUAACUACGUGCCAGCAGCCGCGGUAAUACGUAGGGUGCGAGCGUUAAUCGGAAUUACUGGGCGUAAAGCGUGCGCAGGCGGUUUUGUAAGACAGGCGUGAAAUCCCCGGGCUUAACCUGGGAACUGCGUUUGUGACUGCAAGGCUAGAGUACGGCAGAGGGGGGUGGAAUUCCACGUGUAGCAGUGAAAUGCGUAGAGAUGUGGAGGAACACCAAUGGCGAAGGCAGCCCCCUGGGUCGAUACUGACGCUCAUGCACGAAAGCGUGGGUAGCAAACAGGAUUAGAUACCCUGGUAGUCCACGCCCUAAACUAUGUCAACUAGGUGUUGGGUGGGUAAAACCAUUUAGUACCGUAGCUAACGCGUGAAGUUGACCGCCUGGGGAGUACGGCCGCAAGGUUAAAACUCAAAGGAAUUGACGGGGACCCGCACAAGCGGUGGAUGAUGUGGAUUAAUUCGAUGCAACGCGAAAAACCUUACCUACCCUUGACAUGCCAGGAACUUGCCAGAGAUGGCUUGGUGCCCGAAAGGGAGCCUGGACACAGGUGCUGCAUGGCUGUCGUCAGCUCGUGUCGUGAGAUGUUGGGUUAAGUCCCGCAACGAGCGCAACCCUUGUCGUUAAUUGCCAUCAUUUAGUUGGGCACUUUAACGAGACUGCCGGUGACAAACCGGAGGAAGGUGGGGAUGACGUCAAGUCCUCAUGGCCCUUAUGGGUAGGGCUUCACACGUCAUACAAUGGUCGGUACAAAGGGUUGCCAAGCCGCGAGGCGGAGCCAAUCCCAGAAAGCCGAUCGUAGUCCGGAUUGCAGGCUGCAACUCGCCUGCAUGAAGUCGGAAUCGCUAGUAAUCGUGGAUCAGCAUGUCACGGUGAAUACGUUCCCGGGUCUUGUACACACCGCCCGUCACACCAUGGGAGCGGGUUCCGCCAGAAGUAGGUAGCCUAACCGCAAGGGGGGCGCUUACCACGGCGGGGUUCGUGACUGGGGUGAAGUCGUAACAAGGUA
Molecule: ribosomal RNA, 1235 nt
Filed under: metagenome
Description: bacterial SSU rRNA
Rfam family: Bacterial small subunit ribosomal RNA
Source: RNAcentral